GAAUUAUGGUUGAUCGUUCGGUA
RNAcentral lists this non-coding RNA (23 nucleotides) under Arabidopsis thaliana (thale cress). The record is from RNAcentral. Lineage: Eukaryota; Viridiplantae; Streptophyta; Magnoliopsida; Brassicales; Brassicaceae.